CUCUGCCCUGCGCGGGGCCCCGCCGGCCCGAGGCGGGCGCGCCCAGGGCCUCCCGGAGGCUGGGCCUCCGUCUUUGUGAAGUUUCAAGAGAAGAGCCAGGAGCUACUCAGCAAUAAUUGCUUUUUGAAACGUACUCUUUCAGGGCGAAAGCAAAGAGCUGGUUUUCUGCGCUAGCCCAAUAAAUGCUAUUUAUGAAGAUGGACCUGUUGAACUACCAGUACUUGGACAAGAUGAACAACAAUAUCGGCAUUCUGUGCUAUGAAGGU
RNAcentral lists this long non-coding RNA (266 nucleotides) under Sus scrofa (pig). RNAcentral describes it as "lncRNA (ENSSSCG00065031209.1)". The record is from RNAcentral. Lineage: Eukaryota; Metazoa; Chordata; Mammalia; Artiodactyla; Suidae.